GACGAACGCUGGCGGCGUGCUUAACACAUGCAAGUCGAACGGAAAGGCCCUGCUUUUGUUGGGUGCUCGAGUGGCGAACGGGUGAGUAACACGUGUGUAACCUGCCCUUGACUUUGGGAGAACUUCAGGAAACUGGGGCUAAUACCGGAGAGGAUCUCCUGCUGCAUGGGGGGGGUUGGAAAGUUUCGGCGGUUGGGGAUGGACUCGCGGGUUAUCAGCUUGUUGGUGGGGUAGGUGCUUACCAAGGCUUUGACGGGUAGCCGGCCUGGGAGGGUGACCGGCCACAUUGGGACUGCGGUACGGAGCAGUAUCCUACGGGACGCAGCAGUGGAGAAUAUUGCACAAUGGCGGGACGCCUGAUGCAGAAACGCCGCGUGCGGGAUGACGGCCUUCGGGUUGUAAACCGCUUUCGAAUGUAACGAAGCGUGAGUGACGGUACUGGGUAAAGAAGCACCGGCUAACUACGUG
RNAcentral lists this ribosomal RNA (468 nucleotides) under uncultured bacterium. RNAcentral describes it as "partial 16S ribosomal RNA". It matches the Rfam family "Bacterial small subunit ribosomal RNA", at positions 28 to 507 of the family's 1533-position model. The record is from RNAcentral.